Molecule: long non-coding RNA, 34807 nt
Filed under: Zostera marina
Lineage: Eukaryota; Viridiplantae; Streptophyta; Magnoliopsida; Alismatales; Zosteraceae
Description: long non-coding RNA (ZMAR_LNC001466)
Source: RNAcentral
UCGUAAUCAACGCAUAUCUUAUGCGUGUUGGAAUGAGGUUUGACACUCUAAAAAGGAACAAUAAUUAACACACAAGGAGAUUAUAAAGGGUCACAAUACCUACUAAGGUUUCUGAGUGUUCAAAGUUUUAUCAAUACCUACUAAGGUUUAUGAGUGUUCAAAGUUUUAUCAAUACAUACUAAGGUUUCUGAGUGUUCAAAGUUUUAUCAGUUAUAUAAUAUGUGGUUAUAAUAUAUAAUUAAAAGUUGGAUAUUAAUUUAUUUGGUACUAUGGAAAGGAAACAUUUGAUCACAAUAUUUUUUUUCCCAUAAAUGUACAUCUUGAGACUACACAAUGUAGUUUAAAAAAUAAGUAUUGUACUACAAUGUAUUUCUUAUAAAUGGUCUAGAUUCUCUCUAAGUUUCACCCUUAGGAGUAUUUAUACAGUCACUCUUGGGUUCGGAAUCUUCAUAGACCGGGCCUAUCCUGAUGGUCCCAAUCUGUUGGACCGGGGGGGGUAUCAUAUAGGCCUAGGGGUGAGAACGGGGCGGUUCCCCCGAUAACGUUUCGUUCCGCGUCCCAGUAGUAACCGGGGUUGGGGCCAGGUGAACCUUGUCCUAUUUUUAACUUUUGACCCGAUGCCCCGGUCAUAUUCCGAGGCGGGUCUUGGGGCAAGGUGAGCCCCAGCCGGUUUUGCCCCGGUUUUUAAAUAAAUUAUUUUUUAAUAAAUUAUAUUAUAUUAGAUAUAGGACUAUUAGAAUUAGAAAUUUUAUACAUUUUUAAGUUUAAGCCUUAACUUUUAAACUUUAUGUCUAUUUUAGAUUUACCUUUUUGUUUUUACUUUUAAGAAUUAAGGUAAAAAAGUUACCCAUUUUAAAUUUUAUACUUAGUUUUUUAAUUAUUUUUUAAAAUUUGAAUUAAUUUUUUUUUUUUUUAAUUAUUUUUUAAUAAUUCCAGGCAGGUCGCCCUAGGCACCUGGUCCGAGACAGGGGAUCAUAGUACAUGACCCGCCUCGUUCUGGUAGAACGGGAUUGAUACCGAGGCAAGACUGCCCCGCCCGUGACACGCCCCGUUCUCACCACUAUCAAAGUCUGAUAAUUCGUGUAACACGACGCGACCGAUUGAAUCCGUGUCAACACGACGAAUUGUAAUAAUUAUUUUAUUAUUAAAAUAAUUAUUAACUAAGGGUAUAUAUAUUUUAUUAUUUUAACUCUAUUACAUAGUUAUCAUUUUAUACCUAAUAUUUUAUGGGUAUAAUAUUUUAUAAAGAACUUAAAGGAUUUUACAUAAAAAUAUUAUUUUACCUUUAUUACAUAAACGAUAACCAUAAAUAAUUAAUAAUAUUAUAUUAUAUUUUUCAUGUUAUCGUGUCGUGUUGUGUCAACUUACGUUUCUAGUAAUCGAGUUGUGUUUUUAAAACGACGACACUAUUAUUAAUCGUGUUAAAACUUUCAACACAAACCCGACACUAUUUUGAACCAGCUGCGAAUUCAGGAAUUUUUUCUUUUUUAAUUUUUGACGGCUAGACUGUCAUGGUAUUCUUGUUUGACUCUUUCAAUAUUUUUUUUCCGCAACCGUCAUGGUAUUCUAAUAGUCAUAUCAAAUUCAAUCAGUCAAUCACCAUCAUUCAUAUAUACCCGAUCAUCUCUAUUGAAAUAUAUAUUAGAGAAUAUAUAUUGUUAUUUACUUUAAGACGGGAUCGGAAGAGGGCGGUCGAGAGGAAGAGCUCCCCAAGUAAUAAGGAACCCUUGUCCUGUUUGUGGUGGUAUGGGCCACAGUUCAUAUAAAUGUCAAUAUCGGGUCAGCCCAUACCAAACCACAAAUUCGGCCCAAGAGAACUCACAAAUAAAUAAUGCAGCCUCACCAUAUAAUGUGGGCUCACAUAUGCAAUCAGCCCAGUAUCACCUAGCCCAAGUCCAAAAACAACAUUCUAAUUAUUUAAUACCUAGGCAGCCCACUACAAACAAUACUCAGAUGGCAGACUCGUAUUUUUCAACAAGUGAUUUAGAUCAACAUGACAUGGCAGCCUGAUACCCGCACACUGGAGCGACACAUCGAUCAUUUUACUCCAAAUGUCAAGUCAAUCUCAUCUCUGAUGUCGUAUUAGAGACCCGGAUCUGCUAAGUUAGGUAAUGAGACUCAACUUCAGAUUCAACACUUGGGUGAUGGUAAUUCUGCAUGCAAGUGGAUCCUCUCCUUUUCGUUACUUAAUAUUUUACACGUUUCUUCUCUUAAAACUCUUUUAUUAUUUGUUCAGCAAUUUUGCAGAGAUAAUAACUGUUAUUUUUUGUUUGACUCUUUCCAUGUCUUUGUGAAUGACCGAAUUACUCACAAGGUACUCUUUCAAAGACCCUAUAGGGUAAAAACCCUAUAGAAACCCUAUAGAAGCAUUUAACAGAAGUAGUUUGUACUUUGUACGAUUCUGUCUCAACUUGUAAUUUGUUUUUUGUUGGUACCAUGGACCGCUCCAUGGACCGAACUGGCCACCCUACGAGCCCCAGUGCCCGAACGGGCUGGACGGCCAAAGGCCCACGAGGCCCAAGAGCCGUUGGAGUAAAUGACUAUAAAUACUCCCCCUAGUCCGCGAGGGGGAUAGGCUGACAAUUUUAGAGAGUGAACACUUGAGAGAGUUGAGGUGGGAAGCUUGCACCAACGAGCCCACACAUCAACAGUGGUGAACCUGACGUGAACUUGAAUACACCAGCCAGCGCGAAGGAGGAAGAUGACGACGGGGAGCGAAUUUCGCAGGAGGGGAGCUCAAGGGAUGGACGCUACAAGCCGCUGAGAACCCCCGACGCGAGGAGACAGGCAGAACCGGAUGCGGAGGAGUACUGGCCGGCAUCGCUCCACGGGCGGGACCGGCACAAGGAGGAAUAGAGAGCCCAGAAGGAAAGGUUGCGCAUGGAGAUGGAGGAGAUGAGGUACGGGAGGGACUCGGCCAGGGGAAGCAAACGAAGCGGGCCCCUAUCCCCACCAAGGGAGAGAAGGCCGAGCAGGUCCCGAUCCCCCGUGAAGAGGAGAAAGGAUAAGGAGUACGAGAAGCUCUGCCGGAAGGAGCGCAUGGAGAAGAGGGGGGAUAGGGGCAGGCGAAAAACCAACAGAUCCGAUGGAGGCCAGAAAGCUGAGAAACAGAGCGGCAUGGUUCGCAGUGGCCCAAGGCAAGCUAUACCGCCGCUCGGCGGCGGAAGAGGCCUCCCUCCGGCUAUGCGUCUCGCGGAAGGACGGCAAGGCCGUCGCACGAAGCAUCCACGAGGGGGCGAGCGGGGCACACCAAGGCGGACGGGCGCUAGAGAGGCAAGUGGCCAGGCAAGGCUACUAUUGGUCCGAGUCAAUAAAGGACUCGGAAGAAAUAGUGGACCGGUGCGACGAGUGCCAGCGACACUCGAACAUCCAGAGACGGUUGUCCACUAUGAUGAAGGCAGUAACGACGCCCGUCCCGUUCACACGAUGGGGAAUCGAUAUCGUGGGCCCUUUCCCGCCGGUGUCGAGAGAAGGAAGUUCCUUUUCGUGGCAGUGGACUACUUCACAAAAUAGGCUGAGGCGGAGGCCACGAACACGAUGACCGAGCAGAACGUGGUGAACUUCGUCUUCAGAAGUAUCGUAUGCCGGUUCGGAAUUCCGAUCCAAAUAAUAACGGACAACGGGACGCAGUUCACAGGGAGGAAGCUGAGGGAAUUCUGCGAGGACAGCGGGAUCAAGCUAAUUAAGCUUCGCGCCGGUAUACCACCUGUAGGCAAACGGGCAGGUAGAAGUGACAAACCGAACCAUUGUCUCCAUCUUGAAAAGAAAAGUGGGCGAGUACCUGGACAAGAUCCCGGAAACUAUGUGGGCGUACCGCACAACCAUCCGAACCCCCACGGGCCAAACACCUUUCGCUCUCGCAUUCCGAAUCGAAGCGGUGGCGCCAGCCAAGCUCGUAUGGCCGACAGCCAGGAUCGAGCAGUUCCAACCGGGAACGAACGACAGAGCAAUGCUCCUGGAGAGCGAGUGCGUGAAGAUACGGAGAGAGGAGGCCACCAUCAGGGACCUCACGUACAAGCGAAGGGUGGCAAGGUAUCAUAUUGAGAGGGUAGCCGAGAAGAACCUGGCUCCAGGCGACCUGGUGCUAAGGAAUGCCAGAGUAACGGGAGUAGACCAUACGAAGGGGAAGCUCUCGGCAAGAUGGGAAGGCCCGAACGUCAUCAUAGACGAGGUCCACCCGGGCAUCUUCCGCCUGGGUUACGAAGACGGGCAAGAGAUAGAAAGGACGUGGCACGCUGACAACUUGGAAAAGUAUAAGCGUUGAAGACCGAGACGUCGCCCCGCCUUCUCCCUUUUCCCUUUUCAUGUCGUUAUAUUUUUUUCCCCUCCAACCAAGGCACGCGAUGCCAAAUGAGAAGCACCCGAAGCGUCCAUUUAUCUUUUAAAGGCUUUCUUUUUCGUUACUGUCACGUGCCCCAAAGACCGAAGAGUGGGGCAAAAGAGGGGAAGGAAAAUAACGCGAAUCGGAAACGAUAGGCAAAAAGGGGGCCCGCCGAAAAGGCCGGUCGAAGGUUCCUAAGGUCAGAAGACCACGCGGGAACGUUCGGUCGGCCCAGACCGCCCCUAGAGGGAAACGAGCAAUUAGUAAGAACACGAAACAUUGCAAAGAAAAGGAAAGUCUUCAUUAAAAAAAAAAACUAAUUAUGUAGGUACAAAAAAAAAAGAGGAAAAAAUGGCUAACCACAAGGACCGGCUAGUCGAAGGUAAGCGGAUCAACGUAUUCGGGGAAGUCAGCUUCGAGAUCCUCCUCCUCGCCUUUGCUCACGUCCAAGGGGGGUUGGCAGUCAGGACCGCCCGUCACCUUCCACUAUUCCCAGUCGCGAGUGCUCCGAGGCAUCACGACGUCCGCGAGAGAGGGGAGAGCAAGAGUGCACAUGGCCCGCCCAUGAACGUAGCCCUUCCAGAAACAGGCACGUUUCGCGUCCUUGUACUCGAUGGCAUGGUCAGCUUGAUCACGGCCCUGCUGCAAGCGAACCUUGGAGAGAAUGGACAGUUGGAGUAGCUGGUAAUGGAGGUCCUGGUUGAGGUCCGACGGCGCGCGGGCGAACUACGACACGUAUCCUCCUCUUGCAGCAACCAGGAGUUAACGUUGAAAAGCCGGUUCCGAAGAAUCCCCAGGGCACGAGGAAGGGACGAAGAUGGAUCGACCACGGCGGCGAGUUCAGACAAACGCCCGCAGGACUCUACGAAGGUCUUGAAGAGCUCGGGGUCCAGACCGUCAGACUCGAGUACACGCAACACCUCAUUCGAAGCCUCAGCAGAAGGAGGUGUACGUGGCAUGGACCGGGGACUUCCCAGCUUUUUCUUCUCGGCUCGCAUUUUUUUCCUCUGUCGCCUCUCGAUCCGGGUAUGUUUGAGGGCGACUUCAGGCUCGGACUCAGGCAGCAGGGACAGUGGAGGCGAAGGCGUCAGAAACACGGUCUCAGUGGCCGAACGCUUCUUACCGGCCGCACGCUUCGAUGGGCCAUCGCGGGUAUAGUCCGUCCGGAUGAACUUCUGCAGAUGGUCGCCAUAAGACCAAUUUGUAACCAACUCCCGGGCGCUGACGGAGCCGCGGCGAUAGACCUUGAUCAACACCUCGUGUGCGCGCGACUGUGGGCCGUCCAGGUCAGACAUGAGCGGAGGGGUGGUGCGAGUCUUUAGCUGCGAGAGAAGCCCCCAAUGAGGUGGCGGCGGUGAUUCGAGAUCAAUCGGGUCCAGGGUGUCCACCGGCACGAAGAAAAAACGGUCGCGCCAGUUGUGGGACCGAUCAGCCAAAUGAUCGAACAGGGGAAACCCCCCGCGCUGGCUGAUCAGCAUGCGUCGGGGAUCCUGAGGCAUGGUCAUUAUCUGGAACCAUAUCCGGAAGACAGCCAGAGAAGCUUCGAUCCCGCACCGUCGGCAAAGCAGCGAGAAAGUCAGUAGCCGGUCGACGGAAGCCGGAGGAAGCUGGGAGAAAGAAACUCUGCAGAAGCGCACCGCCUCGCACAAGAGGGGGGAUAGGGGUAGCUUAAGGCCGCAGUCGGCAUAGGAGGAGUACAGGGCCACCAUGCCCUCCGGCGGAGAGGAGGCACGCCUCCUCUCCGCCGUGCCUCCUCUCCGCCGGAGAGUCGCGGACGAGGGUCCCCAGAGAGACCCUGGGCGUCCGUAAGCGCAAGUCAACAGAACCGAACGGAGCGGCUAGCGAAACCGAGUAACAAGCGGGAGAUCCCAGAACGGGGCACGGGGAAGGACGGGCCAGGCAAUAGGGGGGGGGACGGAAGAACCGUCAGCGAACCAAAAGACGAGCGAAACUCGAGGAGGGCCCGGGCGACGUCGACGACAGACGUCGAAUAGCAGAAAACUGCAUCAACACGAAAAUGAAGAAAACAACAACAGAAUCAAAAUACUAGGACAGCCGAAAGCGAAAAGUGCAACGUCAUACUAACGGACAAAAAGUACAGGGGCCAAUAAUACAACAAAGGCCAAAAUUUUAAACAAGUUACAAGAAUAACAAAAGCAUAAAAGCAAAAUACGUCAGGGCACCCUGAACACCACGCCCGCGAGAGACCAGGGAGCGGGCGAAGCGUCACCCGAAGGCAACCUCGUUGGCCGAAAGAGCCCUAGGAGCGGGCGCGAAUCGUCUUAGGGCGGGCCUAGGGGACCCCGACAAAAAGUGGCGCAGGUCAGUAGCCGGGAGGGACGAGACCCACGAUGGCCGCGCGACCGACGGCGGCGGCUGACAAUUCCUUCCGGAGCGACAGCAGGAGCGGCGGAAACUCGACAGAACGCCACCAACAGGAGCAGCGGCGGGAGCCGGCCCCGGGGACCGAGACAUCGGCAGGAAGGUCGGUACGGCGCAGCCGGGAGAGACGGCGGUGAAUGUCUAUUAGCACAGAGUUGAGUCGCUGAGUCUCCGCCACAGCCACGGUGUUGGACUUGCCAGCGGGCGUCAGCAGGCACGCGGUCUACGCAGCAUGCUGGAAUUUUGUUCCAACUUGUUUUAUCAAUAUUUUUCCUUGAUUGAUCAUCUCUCUUAUGAAAUGACAAUCUAUCUCUAUAUGUUUGGUUCUUUCAUGGAACACUGGGUUAUUUACCAGAUAGAUGGUUGAUUUAUUGUCACAGAACAAGACAGUUGACUUUUUAACUUUAAUUUUCAACUCAUACAUCAAUUGAUGGAUCCAUGUUAUCUCACAAGCUGUUUGAGCAAUUGCUCUAUACUCAGCUUCACAAGAUGAUCUUGUCACUGUAACUUGCUUCUUAGUCUUCCAUGAGAUCAGUGAAUCUCCCAACAUUAUGCAAAAAUCAGUUAAGGACUUCCUACUGACUUGGCAUGAUGCCCAAUCAGCAUCACAAUAUCCUUGAAUGGUUUGGUUUUCAGUUUUGUUAUAUAUUAACCCUUGACCAGGUGCACCUUUGAUGUAUCUAAUCAACUUGAAUAGAACUUUAAGGUGUAUCUCUCUUGGCUCAUGCAUGAAUUAGUGUCAUGAUGUGAUUUUAAUUACUCUAAUUUUUUGCGUAAAGGUCAAUCAAUUUUUAAAUAGAUGUGAUGAUGUUCGGUAAGCCUGUAAAUAGUAUAUCGAAAUCCACAUUCGAAUCUUCAUUCGAAUUUGGAUUUUCGGAUUUGGAUUCGGAUACCAAAAUUGAUAUCCGAAUUUUAUUCGAACGGAUUCGAAUAUCCGGAAAAUCCGUCGUUAAAAUUCGAAUUCGUUUAAAAAUUUCGGAUUCGAAUAUUCAGAUAUUCGAAUAAAUAUAAAUUGACUUUUGGAUAUCCGAAUUUUAAGAUGAUUAAUUGAUUAUUAAUUAACUUUAUUAAUGGUUAUUAGAGAUACACCCCUACGUUAAAUAAUAUCACAAAUAUAACAUUAUAAUAAAUAUUACACUCACCCCCUUUUAUUUAAUCAUAACUCUUCAUAUUCCAUUAUUUAUAUUUCCAUAUAUCAUAUUAUUCCAUAUUCCCAUAAUCAUUAAUUACUAUAAUUAAACACACCCAACCAAUUGGGUGUUCUUCUAUAUAAACACACCUAGACUUCAUCCAAAAAUAAACAAUCACACACUCUGUAAUCACAAUUACAUUCACUGUUUGAUUACUACGAUCUUCAACUUUCACAGUCUUCAAACGCUUACGCAACACACCAGUUGAAUCACAGAUUCACCACUCAAUUCAUCUUCAAUUCAUUCCAACAAAGCUGAGGAUUAUCGCUUCAUCAAUCCUUGAUCAAUCGAUCAUCCUACAGUAUCACUUUACAUUCAUUAUCAUUAUCAAUAUUAUUGCACAUAUAUUGAUCAACAUUCAUUUCAUCCAUUCCUUCUUCAAAUAUCAUAUAUAUUUAUAUUUGCAUAUCAAAUAUUACUUCUAUCAUGGUAUCAGAGCAGGAUAAAUCCUGAUCUCCAAUAUUCAAUAUUUUUCUUCUCAAAAAGGAAAGUAUUUUUUGUUUCUAUUUCUAUUUUUCUUUCAAAGGAAAGAAACUUUUGCCUCGCCAAAAAGGGCAACCAACACAAAAAGACACAAAAAAAGGCAGAUCAGAUCAAAACUCAGACAAUUCUAUUUCUCCAGAUAUUGUCAAAGAAUUCCUUGGGAGGACAAGGAGGAAGUGGAAUCUCCACAGCAAGAACACCAUUUGCCUUCUCCCCUUCAGAAUUCAAGCCCACCUCUGGAUCACUCCACAUUUCAUACUCAACAACAUCAUCACUGUCAUAGUCAUAAUCAAAGAGCUCACACACCUCUCCAGCCCAGAGUUCAUCAUUCUUACUUGUCCCACUCUCAAACACAAGAGGCUCUUCAUACUCAGAAUCAGAAGAAGAGUACAAAUCUUCUACAUCACCAAAAUACUCCAGGGCCUCAACAUUCAUCCCCUGCUUCCUCAGCUCCCUCAUCUGUCUGAGAUUUUUUGUGUGCCUUCUUAUCAACCUUCUUUCUCUCCUCUCAGCUUUAUCUGCAGAUGGAAACAAAGAAUGAUGAGUUCAAAAUAAAAGAUGGAAGCCCAUAUUAUAUAUCAGGGAGCGACAACCCAAAUUCAAGUCUGGUAGUAACUCCAAUCAGUGGACCAAACUAUCAAACCUGGGUAGUUAAGGUCCAAAGACCCCUAUCCACCAAAAACAAGUUAGGAUUCAUAAAUGGAUCCGUCACAAAACCAAAUGAUAACACAGACAAUUACCUCAUACCCUGGAUCAGAUGCAAUGAUCUGGUCACUGCUUGGAUUCUAAAUAGCUGCUCUAAAGAAAUCAGUAGCAGCACAAUAUUCAUAAAGGAUGUUGCUACUCUAUGGGAGAAUCUGAAGCAAAAAUACAGCAGAGGAAACUCACUAGUUAUUUCCCAACUCAAAAGGCAAAUUGCUCUGUGCACUCAAAGUAAUGAGUCUGUAAGAAAUUUUUAUGCUAAACUGCAGGGACUCUGGAAUGAGUUAGACAACAACCAGAUCUUUGAAUGCUGCAACAAUCUCAAUUGCAUAGCCAAAGAAAAUCUGGAAAAACUAAUCACUUUCACCACUGGCCUCAAUGACACAUAUUUGUCAAUCAGGGGGCAAAUAUUAAAGAAGAAAACACCAUCCUCAGUAGAUGAUGCUUUCAGAAUGGUUCUCGAAGAAGAAACUCAAAGAGAGUGCAUCUACCCUGAGGAAGGGAGUGUCAUGGUGACACAAACCAGAAACUUCACACCCAAGCAAAAACACAAACUCAAAGUGAAGACUCCAAGCCUUACUGUACUAGAUGCAAGAAGCAUAACCACAGCUUGGAAACAUGCUUCUAUGAACAUGGUUUUCCAUGAGGACAUGGGCUUCAUGGAGUAGACUUCAACAAGAAGAAAGAAAACACAACAAAAUUUAAUGGAAAAAAGGGCUUCAAUGGGAAGCCCAACAAAGGAUACAAGGGAAAACAUCAAAGCAACAAUGCCAACACACAAUCAGAGAUGAUGGCCAAAAUUCAAGUGAUGACAAAACUGAAAACAAAUUCAUCACCAGAGAAGAGCUCAUAAACAUACUGGGAGGAAUCUCUAAAAGGGAACGAGAGUCAAGCUCACAUGGCUUCUGGAAGCUCAUCUGGUAAAUCCUAUUUAAAAAAUAAUACAUAUUUUCAUUACUCACUAAACUCAUACACGAUGCCACAUACUGAACCAGAAAAUGAUCAAUGAAUCAUUGACACAGGGGCAACAAAUCAUAUGUGUUCCCCCAACACCCCCUUACACAAUGUCAAAACACUAUUGUAUCCAAUAAGCAUUCACCUCCCAAACUCCUAAACCACUAGAGUAUCAUCAAGUGGUUUUAUAUCCCUAUCAAAAGACAUCACCCUACAUAAUGUCUUAAAAAUACCAUCCUUCUCAGUAAACCUACUAUCUGUAAGCAAAUUAACAAAAGACAUAAAUUGAUUAUUCACCUUCCACCCUACUUUCUGUUCCAUACAGGAUCAGCAGGGAAACCAGAUUGGUGGUGGUGAGAAGAAAGAUGGCUUAUACAUCCUGAAGCUAAAAUCAUCCCAGGCCAACCACAGCCAACAAAAAGAAUCAAAGGAUGAGGAAAUCUGGCAUCAAAGACUAGGACACCCUACACCUUCUAGAUUUUAUCUUUUACAUUUACUGAACAAAUGUAUUCCUAAAAGUUUUUGAAAAUUUUGUAAUACAUGUCCUUUGUCAAAACAGACAAGAUUAUCCUUUAACUUAAGCACAAACAAAACUACUAAGUGUUUUCAGCUAAUUCAUCUAGAUAUUUAAGGAAAAUAUCACACACCCACAUACCAAGGAAACAACUAUUUCCUAACCAUAGUGGAAUUUACUCAAGGGCCACUUGGGCCUUUUUAAUGACAAACAAAGCUGAAACACUAGGUAAAUUCAAACAAUUUAUAUUGGAUGUUAAAAACCAACAUCAAGCAAACAUUCAGACUAUAAGAACAGACAAUGGAACAGAGUUCCUAUCUAAAGAAUUUCAAAAUGUUUUAAAAAUAAAUGGCAUAGCACAUCAGUUAUCAUGCCCCUAUACUCCUCAACAAAAUGGAAGAGUUGAGAGAAAACACCAACAUAUACUACAAGUGGCUAGGUCACUCAUGAUUCAAUCCAACAUUCCCCUAAGAUGCUGGAGAGAAUGCAUCCUAACAGUUGUUUUUCUAAUAAACAGAACCCCAGCUGUUGUUUUGGACAAUGAUACUCCUUACCACAAAUUAUUCAAUGAACAACCAAAUCUCUUCAUUAUAAGAGUAUUUGGAUGUCUUUGCUAUGUGAUGAAGCACGGAAUCUGCUACCAGUAGGCUCGCGGGGUUGCGAGGAGAGCAGGAGGUUUUGGAGUCCACGACGCGCGCUCUACGUCAAUGUACCUGUAGAAGUGGAGGGGAAUCGGCGACUCUCUUGGGAGUAGGCGAUUCGAGCUCCUUGGAUUGCUCUGGUGUGGUGUGGUCAAGUGGGAAUGACUUGGGAGUAGAGGACCCCCAAGGUCCCUUUUUAUAGGGUCCUAGGGGACGUUUCCCCAUUCAUUAGCGUAGGGCCCACCCCAUUAUGGUGCUCUAUUGAAGGGUGCCAUAAUGACGUGGGCCCUCCCAAGUAACGGUUGGGAAUCGGCGACUCAGGUAUAGGAGUCGCCGAUUCAGAGGUGGAGUCGCCGACUCCCCAUGAGCCAGGUUGGCAGUCUACCAGAACUGGUCACGAGGCCUGGAGUCGGCGAUUCACCCCUGGAGUCGGCGACUUGGUAGUCCCAGUCGGCGAUUCCCAGGUGCUUCCUUGAGUACUUGACGUAGACACUUCCUCCGCAUUUGUGGAACUCUCCGGGGGUCCGGCAUAAAGCGACGGAACCCUGGUCCUUGUCGAAGGACGUUGCUGGGAGUGACUGACGUAAUCAGGCAUGUCUCACCAGUACUACCCCCCCUGAAGAGAACAUGGAAAAACACGCGUGUACCGCCAAUAUCCCCCCCCAAGCAAGGUGAUCCGCAUCAAGGCCAAAGCGACAAGAUGGGAUGGAGUCAUUGCGCUCACAGCGACACAAAUGACUCUGCAUGGUCCAUGCACUAUCAGAUGGACUGAUUCACUAUCAGAAUCUAGUUCCAGGCCAACGGAACUACAUGUUUAUAGUCCAACUCUUAUCAGGAGCAACUUUUGCUGUGGAUUCUGGCCGAAGCGACAGAAUGCGUGGAUUCAGUGUUAGAAUCUGAUUCUGGCCGAAGCAACAAAAUGCGUGGAUUCACUAUUAGAAUCGGGUUCUGGCCGAAGCGAUAGAAUGUGUGGAUUCUGGCCAAAGCGACAGAAUGCGUGGAUUCUGGCCGAAGCGACAGAAUCUAGUUCACUAUCAGAACUGAUGUUUAUAGUCCACCCUGAUCAAGAGCGACUUUACGUCCGCAACGACGGUUACCCCAUAGGCCAAAGCGCAAGAUGGGUCGAGAUCAUUAAGGCCGAAGCGACAAAAUGAUCUCCAAGUGUUGAAGAAUUAUUGAAGCCAAAGCGACAACAUAAUUCUUGGUCCAUUAAGGCCAAAGCGACAAAAUCGAUCUGAAUCUAUUAAGGCCAAAGCGACAAAAUAGAUCCGAUUCUGGCCGAAGCGACAGAAUCAUUCCUGCAAAGCAACUAUAUCAGUCUAAAGGAUAUAUUUAUUGAUUUAUUGACCUUGCCGUGUGGAGCUGCCUCUCAUGCUGCUCCUCCUUAUGCUCAAUAAAUCCUUGAUUGAUCUGGCCGAAGCGACAGAUCUAUCAUGCUCAAAAAUGUGACAGCUUCUUGCCGAAGCGACAGAAGUGCUGGGAGAACUUGUGUUACUCCCCUUGGAUUUCGACGACUUCUGGCCGAAGCGACAGAAGUGUCGGGAAGAGCUUGUGAUACUCCCCCCUUGAGAUCAUUAAGGCCGAAGCGUCAAAAUGACCUCUGGUCUAUCAAGGCCGAAGCGAAGAGAUAGACCGACUCACUAUUAGAGUCUGACUCACUAUCAGAGUCUGGUUCACUAUUAGAAUUUGGUUCACUAUUAGAACCUUUCCUGCAAAAAAGAAAACAUCCUGCAAAACAACUAGAUCAGUCCAAAAACGCAUUUUUAACUUAUUGAACUUACCGUGUGAUUUUACCUUCCUUGAUGCCUCUUCUUUGCUCAAUAAAUCCUUGGUAAAUCUGGCCAAAGCGACAGAUUUUACCGUGCUCAAUUUUUGACGACUUCUGGCCAGAGCGACAGAAGUGUCGGGAGAGCUUGUGAUACUCCCCCGAAAUUUGACGACUUCUCGCCGAAGCGACAGAAGUGUCGGGAGAGCUUAUGAUACUCCCCCUCGAAAUGUGACGACUUCUGGCCGAAGCAACAGAAGCGUCGAGAGUACUUGUGAUAUUCCACAUUGAAAAUGUGACGACUUCUGGCCGAAGCGAUAGAAGUGUCGGGAGUACUUGUGAUACUCUCCAUUGAAAAUGUGACGACUUCUGGCCGAAGCGACAGAAGUGUCGGGAUUACUUUUGAUACUCACUAUUGAAAUGUGACGACUUCUAUCCAAAUUGACAGAAGUGUCGGGAGAGUUUGUGAUACUCCCCCCAAAAUUUAACCACUUCUAUCCAAAUUGACAGAAGUGUCGGGAGAGUUUGUGAUACUCCCCCUCGAAAUUUGACGUCUUCUGACCGAAGCGACAAAAGUGUCGGGAGAGAGAGUUUGUGAUACUCCCCCUUGAAGUGAUUGUUAAUGGGCUAUCUUUUGUUUUAUUGCUAAUCUUUCAUAUAAAUUACCCUUUAAAUUUUAACUAAGGCCCGAAACUAGAUUCACAAGUCGUAAUUUAGCCACUCUGGACGUAAAUUAGACUCUGCUAACCCUAUUGUUAGCCACUCUGGGUGUAGACUUGGUCAUACGAAUCGUAGCUCAGCCUACGGUUAAAUUUGUGGAUAAUUUAUACCUUCAGAUUAAGAUAGCGCGAAUGAAAAAAUCCGAAGGAUACAAAUUUUUCAAACUCGAGAGUUACGUUCGUAAUUUACAAUUAGAACUUAAGUUUGAAUCCUGAUGUUGGAGAGAGCUUAUGAUACUCUCUCUUGAAACGUGACGACUUCUGGCCGAAGCGACAAAAGUGUCGGAGAGAGCUUGUGAUACUCCCUCAUGGAACGUGACGAUUUCUGGCCGAAGCGACAGAAGUGUCGGAGAGAGCUUGUGAUACUCCCUUCUGGAAAUGUGAUGUUGUUUUACCCUGAGUCGGAGACCGGGUGUCCCAAUCGCCGACUCCUAAGUUUUGGAUUACUGUGAGGAUUUUGACGACUUCUGGUCAAAGCGACAGAAGUGUCGGUAGAGCUCGUGAUACUCCCCCUCUUGUAAUGUUUUGAUAUUUUUGUAAUUUUUUGGAACUCAAUCAAUUAUUUUGUUUUCUUAAUUAAUUGUUUAUUUAAUUUAUUUUUUGAAUUGUAAGUAAGACCCGAAACUAGAUUCACAAGUCGUAAUUUAGCCACUCUGGACGUAAAUUAGACUCUGCUAACCCUAUUGCUAGCCACUCUGGGCGUAGACUUAGUCGUACGAAUCGUAGCUUAGUCUAUGGCUAAACUCGCAAAAUAAAUUAAACUUCUCAACUAACCAAGACUCGCAAAACUAAGUGACGUAAUGAGUUGGAGAUACAAAAAUUAUCGGGAAUAGGACUUAGGAUUUUUUGAGAACCUAAGACUCUAGAUUUCAUUCCCUAAUGUGUAGUUGAACUCUGGCCGAAGCAACAGAGUAACUUUUUACCCUCAUCAAGGCCAUAGCGACAAGAUGAGGUUCAAUCGUAUGUGUUGUGGGUACUUAGAACCUCUUAGGGUUAGGUUCAUUUGUACUUAGGACAUGAUUUGUGACCAUGAUUUGUGACCCAUAAUUUGUGACCAUGAUUUGUGACCAUCACUUAGACUCGUGGGUCGUAAGCUAGGUUUGAGCGACGGGUAUCAUCCAGCCAAAGCGAUGGGUGAUAUAUGAGGUUGAAGAGACGGACGUCAUCCAGCCGAAGCGAUGGAUGAUUGAUCCGUCUGAAGCGACGGGUGAUUAUUCUAAAUAUGAUACUGCAUAUAUCUCUAUAGAUUAAAGAGAGAUUUAUUUAGAAUAAUGUCGCUAUUGCGAAUACAUAAGAAUAGCAUGAGCGACAAACAAAAUAAUCGACAUAUUUUGGUCGCUGGAUACCACUGACAGAAGCAUAGCCUGCAUGGUUAUUCUGGCCAAUCCUAUCUCUUAACAGGUGAUAGUUCCUCACUCCUAGCGUGAUGCACUUGAUUGCGAGUGUGAACUGUGGCUCUGGUUGCCAUCACUGUCAUAGGAUUGAGAGUGUGGGCUAUGGUCAUAACUGUUACUUGGCCGAGAGUGUGAGCUAUGGCUUUCGUGGCCAUAACUGUUACCAGACAGAGAGUGUGAGUUAUGACUUUGGUGGUCAUAACUACUGAUGAGAAGCUCCUCUCUAUACCGAGGAGGACUAGUCGAGGUUUCAGACUGGAAACUUGUAUCCUCGUAUGUAUCUUCUUUAGCAUAGCGAGGUUUUUUCCGGUUGGGCGGCUCGACUCCGCCCAACUUAUUAUUGUUCUCCUCUUCUAUCUCAAUGAACGAUUGAGCUCGUUGGAAGAGGUCGGGGAGGGUCUCCACUUUAUGGAGCGUAAGGUUCUGGGCCAAAGGGGAGUAGGGUACUAGCCCAUUCAUGUACCCCGCUAUGGCCAGACUCGGGAUUAGGCCGUUCACUUCUGUCAUCAUGGAAGUGAACUUAAUCGUGUAAUCCCUCAGAGACAGUUUGUUCUGUCGUAAUGCGAGUAGUGCGUUGGCACUGUGUUUUAUUCAGAUCAUUCCCACAUGUUGGGCGAUGAACUUCGAAGAGAGGUCCGCGAAGCUGGAGACCGAGCCAGCUGGCAGACCAGAGAACCACCGAUAAGCGUUGCCUUUGAGAGUGCCGGGGAAUGCCCGACACAACAGUCCGUUAUCGGUGGUCUGCGGUUCCAAGACACUAAGGUAGAGGUUGAUGUGAUCUUUUGGAUCACUCGAACCAUCAUACGCUUCUAUCUUGGGUACCCGCCAGGUUGGUGGAAAAGAUUCUUUCAAAAGAUCCUUGUGAAAAGGAGCGAUUUUGAUUCUCAAAAGCUCGAUCGGACUGCUGGCGACCGAAUUGUCGGCCAGCUUCCGACGGAGAUCUUCCACGAACUUUGUUGUAAGAGUCUUGUGAGUGCGACUCUUGCUAGGUCCAGCUUUUUCCUUAGGAGGUGUUGGAGAUUUCCUCUUUUUCUCCGUAGAUGGAGGAUAGUAAGACCCAGAUUCACCCGCUCCUUCGCGGAUGAUGGUCUUUUUGCCCCUUGCUUUCUCGAGGUUGCUAACUCUUUUUUCUAUGGAAUCCAUAAAGUUAAUCAACCUCUCUUCUAGCGUAGGAGUUAGGUUCACUCCCCCAUUUGAUGGGAGUGAUGAGGGCACCUUAUGUGCUGAUAGUGGUAUAUUGGAGGUUGGUAUAGUACGGGAACCAACCCUCCUACCAGAAGCUCCUACCUCAGUAGUAAUUGCGAGAGCUUUCUUUUUAUGAUCCUUAGUAAAAGGAGCCAUAAAUGGGAUGGUUGCUUCUAUCGGGUCGAAGCAACAGACUACGAGUGGAAGUUCUUCCGAAGUGUCGGAAGCUAUGGGUAGUACCUGCCCCCCCGGGUGUCGCAAAACAGAAAAAAUUUCGUAUAAUAUUUCUUUGUAGUUUUGUGACCCCCUUGAGCAGUACUACUAGUCCCCAAAGUUUGAAAUUAGUAAAAAAUAUCGGAAAAAAUUUGCAAUUUUUCUGCAGAAAAUCGUGCUGCCGGAGGUGGUUUUCGGGAUGCCUGUUUAGACCUAUCCCAGAAAAGAUUCCUUGCACUGUUGGGAAAUUCUGCUCUUUUGUACUCGUAGAGAAAACUUUUUUCACGUGAACUGUGGUUGUAGAAUUCCAAAAUCAGAUCUGGGUAUUCCGGAGGUGGACGGACAAAAUCACUGGUAGUGAAAAAAAGUAAAAAGCCCCAUACUCUUUUUUUUUUACCGAAACGACGAUGCGAGUCCAGCCAAAGCGAUGGAUUUUCGUUUCGGUAAAAGAGCUGGGCUAUGUGUCGUCUUAUUCAGCCGAAGCGAUGAAUGAAGACGAUGACCGAAUGACCGAAUCGACAAUUCAACUGUGGGAAUCGCCUACUCGGUGUGGGAGUCGGCGAUUCAAUUGUGAGAAUCGCCUACUCAGUGUGGUCUUAUUCAGCCGAAGCGAUGAAUGAAGACGAUAACUGAAUCGACAAUUCAAGUGUAGGAAUCGCCUACUCAGUGUGGGAGUCGGCGACUCAAUUGUGGGAAUCGCCUACUCAGUAUGGAAUAGUUGAUUCAAGUGGGAAUCGACGAUUCAGAUGGGGAUAGGUGAUUUUCUAUGAAAAAUCCAACCUAUAUGGAAGUGAAAGUGCCAGAGCAAAAGGCAUUGACAGGACUUGCUCAAAAAGCUAAAGGAAUCGGCGACUCCCUAUGUGGAGUCGGCGAUUCAACUUAUGGCCUUUUUGAACCAAACCGUGGACAACACUCUUAGCUAGCAGAAUAACCCGCAAUCGGCGACUCACUAGGUGGAGUCGGCGAUUGCCUGUGUGUAUCGGAGAUUCCUUAACACAAAGUUAGCGACUCACCAUAAGGGAAUCGAGCUGAACUUUGCGAAGAAAAUUUCGCGAUUACGACGGGAUAUCGUGGUUCGAUAGUCCCACAGACGGUGUCAGCUGAUGAAGCACGGAAUCUGCUACCAGUAGGCUCGCGGGGUAGCGAGGAGGGCCGGAGGCUUUGGAGUCCACGACGCGCGCUCUACGUCAAUGUACCUGCAGAAGUGGAGGGGAAUCGGCGACUCUCUUGGGAGUAGGCGAUUCGGGCUCCUUGGAUUGCUCUGGUGUGGUGUGGUCAAGUGGGAAUGACUUGGGAGUAGAGGAGCCCCAAGGUCCCUUUUUAUAGGGUCCUGGGGGACGUUUUCCCAUUCAUUAGCGUAGGGCCCACCCCAUUAUGGUGGCCUAUUGAGGGUGCCAUAAUGACGUGGGCCCUCCCAAGUAACGGCUGAGAAUCGGCGACUCAGGUAUGAGAGUCGCCGAUUCAGAGGUGGAGUCGCCGACUCCCCAUGAGCCAGGUUGGCAGUCUACCAGAACUGACCACGAGGCCUAGAGUCGGCGAUUCACCCCUGGAGUCGGCGACUUGGUAGUCCCAGUCGGCGAUUCCCAGGUGUUUCCUUGAGUACUUGACGUAGACACUUCCUCCGCAUUUGUAGAACUCUCCGGGGGUCCGGCAUAAAGCGACGGAACCCUAGUCCUUGUUGAAGGGCGUUGCUGGGAGUGACUGACGUAAUCAGGCAUGUCUCACCACUAUGCCACAAAGAACAAAACAAAGACAAAAUUCGAAAAUAGAGUCAUCAAGGGAAUUUUUCUAGGAUACUCAUUCCAAGGAAAGGGUUACAAAGUGCUCAACCCAUCUACUCAAGAAAUUUUCACAAACAGGGUUGUUACAUUCUUUGAAGAGAUCUUUCCCUUCAAAGAAGAACCAAAACAACAUGAGAAAGAUUUCUUCAAUAAAGAAUCAUCAGAAGGAACAAACAUAUACACAAUAAACAUCACUCCUCCACUUGAUCAAUAUGAGUCAGAAGAAGAGAAGGAGAUAACAUCAAUCCCUCAAAUUUCCCAAAUUCCUCCUUCAAUGGAACCUACUGAACAAUAUGAGUCAGAGGAAGAAGAAGAAAUGACUGACAGAACAAUAUCAACAAACAAUGAGGAAACCAACAGAACAUCAAAAAGGACUAGAAGAAUACCCUCAUAUCUAAAGGACUAUAAACUACAACUGGCAUCAUCCAAAAACCCAAUAGAAAAACUAAUAUCAUGCCAAAACUUUACUUCAGAACAUUAUGCUCUGCUCUCAGCAAUAAAGAGCAAUGUUGACCCAAAUUCCUACAAAGAGGCAUCUAAACAUGCCAAAUGGAACAACGCCAUAAAACAAGAGCUUGAGGCUCUUGAAAAUAACAAAACCUGGACCAUUACAAGCAUCCCUGAGGGCAAGAAACCAAUUGAAUAUAAAUGGGUCUACUAAACAAAAUUCAACAGUGAUGGAACUGUUGAGAAACAUAAAGCAAGGCUAGUAGCCAAAGGUUACAAUCAAAUUGAAGGCAUAGAUUUCACAGAAACCUUUGCCCCUGUCUCUAAGAUGACAACACUAAGGGUCAUCUUAGCAAUAGGAGUAUCCAAGAAAUGGCACAUGCAUCAAAUGGAUGUGCAAAAUGCAUUUCUAUAUGGGAUCUUAGAAGAGACUAUAUAUAUGAAAAUACCUUCGGGUUUAGAAAUACCAAAAAAUUCACCACCUAAUUCAGUUUGUAAAUUGAAUAGAUCACUAUAUGGCCUGAAACAAACAUCUAGAGUGUGGUAUCAAACCCUAUCAAAAGCUUUAUCCAAUUUUGGAUACAAGCAAUGUAAAACAGACUACUCACUGUUUAUAAACAUUGAUGAUAAAGAUACCACAAUAGUAUUAGCAUAUGUUGAUGAUCUGUUGAUAACAGGAAACAACAUAAACAAAAUAAAUUCCUUAAAAGAAAAUUUAAAGAAAAUUUUCAAAAUAAAAGACCUUGGAGAACUCAAAUACUUCCUAGGCCUUGAAUUCACCAAAACACCCAAUGGCUUAUAUAUUGGGCAAAGAAAAUACACCUUAGACCUAUUAGAAAAAUAUGACUUAACUCAAUGUAAACCAAACAAUACACCUAACAGUCAAAAACAAAUAUCCAACUAUAAAACAAAAAAAUAUAUUAACAUUAAUCCAAUACAACCAAAUAAUCACACUAAUAAAACACCAAUGCAAUCAAACAAAACAGAGGAAAAUGGAGUUCCAUUAGAGGACCCAUAAAAAUACAGAAGCAUAAUUGGCAAGUUAGUUUAUUUAACUUGCACAAGGCCAGACAUAUCAUAUGCAGUGACUUAUUUAAGUCAGCACAUGGCCACACCCACAGACAUUCACAUGAAAGCAUCCUACAGAGUAUUAAAAUAUAUAAAAGGAUCACCUGGUGUGGGGUUACAUUUCACAGGAUCCUCAAUGGACCACAUCUCUGCCUUCUCUGACUCAGAUUGGGCAAGUUGCCCGACCACUAGGCGAUCAACAUCGGGGUUUUCCAUCUUCCUUGGUACUUCACUAGUAUCUUGAAAAUCAAAAAAAUAAUAGACCAUAUCAAGAUCAUUAGCCUAUAUUAUCCAAUACAGCCGAAUAUAGACAUUAGCCUAUACUACAUGUGAAAUAACUUGGUUGACAAUGCUAUUGCAAAAGAUAGGAGUAUACCAAAUACAACGAUCACCGGCUCCUCGUAUCUUCACCGAUAGCACAGCAGCAGAGGCGAUUGCUCGAAACCCUAUCUCACACCAACGAACAAAGCACAUAGAAAUCGAUCUCCACACGGUAAGGGACAAAGUUUUAGCGGGAGAUAUUACACUAAGACACGUCUCCAGUGCACAAAACAUUGGUGAUUUUUUCACUAAACCCUUAGGUGGCCCAGCAUUCAAACAUUUAAUCCAAAAAUUAAAUCUCAUCGAUAUACACACCCAAAAUUCAAACCCAAUUAAUUCACUAAAAACACCCCAUUGCUCCCACAUAUUCAAAUCAAACCCUAACUGGUUUUGAUUUGAGGGAGGAUAUUAGAGAUACACCCCUACGUUAAAUAAUAUCACAAAUAUAACAUUAUAAUAAAUAUUACACUCACCCCCUUUUAUUUAAUCAUAACUCUUCAUAUUCCAUUAUUUAUAUUUCCAUAUAUAUCAUAUUAUUUCAUAUUCCCAUAAUCAUUAAUUACUAUAAUUAAAGACACACAACCAACAUAGCCGUUGGGUGUUCUUCUAUAUAAACACACCUAGACUUCAUCCACAAAUACACAAUCACACACUCUGUAAUCACAAUUACAGUCAUUGUUUGAUUACUACGAUCUUCAACUUUCACAGUCUUCAAACGCUUCCGCAACACACCAGUUGAAUCAAAGAUUCACCACUCAAUUCAUCUUCAAUUCAUUCCAACAAAGCUGAAGAUCAUCGCUGUAAAGAAGAAAAACUGAUGUAUAGACAGAAACAUCAGACUGAAUAUAUAGAAGAAGCAGGAUAGAGAAAGAAAGAAAGGAGAAAAAGAAAUACAAUGGGGAAGAUACAGUUAGAGAUCUAACUGCCCAAAGAUAGUGGAAUCAACUUUGUAUCCAGAUUGUGAAGAAAGAGGAAUGAGCACAAGAAGCCCUAAUUUCAAUAUGGAAAAAUAUCAAGUAUACAAAACACAAUCUUCAAAAACUAAUUCAUUAGUAUUAGUUUAUACUAUUUAUAAACCUUACUAGGUUAUUUAUCUAUUAGUCCAUUUACUAACUAAUAUUAUUAAUAUACCCUUAUGUGUGAAUUUACACUUAUGGUAUGAUAUUUAAUACUAUCUUUACAUUCCCCCUCAAUAUCAUAAUUGAAUCAAUCAAUUAUGAUAUUGAUCAAUCAAUUAUGAUAUUGAUCAAAAUUUCAGAAACAUGAUCAGAAUCUUUUCCUGCUCCUUUGUCCUUGUCGAGGCCCUUCAUCUUAACGACAUAUAUAGAUCCUUUGUUUAGUCCUUUCUCUGUUCACCAAUUCUUAUAUAGAUCCUGCAUUUAUACAUAUUAUAGAUGUCAUCCAGGCAGGGACCAACUCCCUUUAGCUUCCUUUGCAGUCUUGAUUCCUGCACACAUUCAAGCAUUACAUACCACUCAUAGCUACACAAAUAAUAAUAACAUCAAAUAUUUAACCAAUAUCAUAAUAGAUAUAUAACAUUAUCAAACAUAAUAACAUCAGUCCUGAUUUAUUAUUAUUAUUAUUAUUUAUUAUUAUUAUUAUUUGGUUCUAAGUCUCUUUACUAUCUGGUUUUUGUCAUUUGAUCCUCUACUGAAGAUGCAUUUUCAUCAUUUCUUAUGUCUACUUUUUUCUUAAUAGGACUUAGUUUAUGUUUGUUCCUAUGCCUUCUAAAAUCUUCAGUUCCUAGUAUCUUUGUGAAUCUAUCCGCAAGUUGCUGGUUGGAUGGAAUAUACUCUAUCCUUAUUGCUCCUUUGUUUACUAGUUCUCCAAUGAAAUGUAGAGAGAUGUCCAUGUGUCUUGUUCUUCCACUUGAACUUGGAUUUUUUGCCAAAAAUAUGGCAGAUUUGUUAUCACAUAGCACUAGUGGUGAAGAAUCUAGUUUUAUCCCUAAUUCUCUAAAUAGAUAGCAAAACCACUUUAUUUCUGAUAUUACUCCUGUUAAUGCCCUAUAUUCAGCCUCACAACUUGAUUUUGCUACUGUUGAUUGUUUCUUAGCUGACCAGGCUAUCACAUUAUUUCCAAACCAUAUGCUAGAUCCAGAUAUGGAAAUCCUGUCAUCAGGAUUGUUUCCCCAAUCUGAGUCACAGUAUGUUAUAAGUGUGUUUUCUGACCUAUCUGAGGAAUUAAACCUAAGUCUUAAGUUGAUACUUCCCUUGACACAUCUCAGUACCCUUUUAGCUGUUUGUAAGUGUAUCUCAGUAGGUAUUUGUAAAAACUGACUCAAGUGAUUUACAUGAAAUGCAAUAUCUGGCCUUGUUAGAGUAAGAUAUUGCAGUGAUCCAAUUAUACUUCUAUAAACUUUUGGAUCCUCUAUAGGUGUUCCCGUUUCUUUUAUUUUAGAUCUUCAACUCCAAUUAUUUUAAAAAAUAAAGAUGUAUCUGUUUUGCUAUUGGAAAAAUCAUUCUUUGUUAGAAAAUUUUGUAAUCUGGAGUACCAAGCUCUAGGAGCUUGUUUAAGUCCAUACAAGGCCUUAUGAAGAAGACACACAUGUUUAGGUGAUUUCUUAUCUAUAAAUCCAGUUGGUUGCUUCAUAUAGACUGUCUCAUUUAGAUAGCUAUUUAGAAAGGCAUUUUUAAUGUCAAGUUGUUUUAAUUGCCACCUGUGUGAAGUGGCUAAUGACACAAUUGCCCUGACUGUGUUCAUUCUAACCACUGGCCUAUAAGUUGAGGUAUAAUCCACCCAUUCUUCCUGGUUAUAUCCUUUAGCAACUAACCUUGCCUUAUAUCUUUCUAGGGUUCCAUCUACCUUCUUUUUUAUUUUGAACACCCAUUUGCAUCCCACAAUGUUCAUAUCAUUCGUUUGAGGAACUAGACUCCAUGUAUCAUUUAUUUUGAGAGCAUUCAUCUCUUCUACCAUUGCUUCCCUCCAUUUUUCAUCUUUGUUUGCCUGACUAAAUGAAAUUAGUUCAUCACUGUUUAGUUCUGAAUAGGAGCAUUCAUAGUCUUUGAGUAACACAGAAGGUUGUUUUACUCUAGUAGGAUAACUUUGAGUUUUAGUCACCUCAGGUUGACUACCACUAAUGCUUAAGUUCUGAAGUUGGGAAGAGAGAUCUUCUAUAUUCACUGAGUUUCCAGAACCAUUGCACUGUAUUGGUGUUUCUCUUGUUGUUUGAAUUUCAAUGGUUGUUCUCAAAUUACUGUUUAUUCUACUCUCAGAUCCAUUUCCUUGUUGUAUUAAAUUGUUGUUCCCUUGGGUUAUUUCUUUUCCUAUUGUCAUUGUGGGUAAUAUAAUGGAACAUGUAGUUGACUUUGCCAUUUCUUUUUUUUUUGCUUAUUUCCUUGUUUUAUUUCGCUAAAAAUGGGAAUUCUAGUUCAUUGAAUUUCCGUGCUGGGCCUCCCACCUUCUCUCUGAACCGUCUUUAUGACGCAUUGAAUUCUGAGCUUCUUUCCCCUUCACUUUCUUCCUAUAAAUAGGGUGUUGAUAGUUUUCGUUCUUCUAUCCUCUCUUCCUCCACGAUGAGUAUCCAAGAUAUCCUUAAGGAAUACGGCCGUGAAGUGCAGCUCCAGCAUGCUGCGUGGGCCGCGUGCCUGCUGACGCCCGCUGGCAAGUCCAACACCAUGGCUGUGGCGGAGACUUAGCGACUUAACUCUGUGCUGAUAGACAUUCACCGCCGUCUCUCACGGCUGCACCGUACCGACCUUCCUGCCGAUGUCUCGGUCCCUGGGGCCGGCUCCCGCCGCUGCUCCUGUUGGUGGUGUUCGGUCGAGUUUCCGCUACUCCGUGCACGCCGCUCCAGCUGCCGCUCCAGAAAGAACUGUCGGCCGCCGCCGUCGGUCGCGCGGCCAUCGUGGCUCCCGUGGAUCUCGUCCCUCCCGGCUACUGACCUGCGCCACUUUUUGUCGGGGUCCGCUAGGCCCGCCCUUGGACGAUCCGCGCCCGCUCCUAGGGCUCUUUCGGCCGACGGGGUUGCCUUCGGGUGGUGACGCUUCGCCCGCUCCCUAGUCUCUCGCGGGCGUGGUGUUUAGGGUGCCCUGACGUAUUUUACUUUUAUGCUUUUGUUAUUCCUGUAACUUAUUUAAACUUUUGGCCUUUGUUGUAUUAUUGGCCCCUGUACUUUUCGUCCGUUAGUAUGACGUUGCACUUUUCGCUUUCGGCUGUCCUGGUAUUUUGAUUCUGUUAUUGUUUUCUUUAUUUUCGUGUUGAUACAGUUUUCUGCUAUUCGACGUCCGUCGUCGACGUCGCCCGGGCCCUCUUCGAGCUUCGCUCGUCUUUUGGUUCAUUGACGGUUCUUCCGUCCCCCCUAUCACCUGGCCCGUCCUUCCCCGUGCCCCGUUCUGGGAUCUCCCGCCUGUUACUCGGUUUCGCUAGCCGCUCCGUUCGGUUCCGUUGACUUGCGCUUACGUACGCCCAGGGUCUCUCUGGGGACCCUCGUCCGCGACUCUCCUGCGGCUCAAUCCGCAGCGUAUGUCGACGUCCGCCUGCUGGGGCCAUCAUAUUCCUUACUCGCUCCUGUCGGGUACCGUCUUUCCUUCUGUUCCCCGAUGAUUUGGGCCGCAGGCAUCCAAGGUUCCCCGGCCCAUGUCGACCUGAAGGCCCCAGGUACCCGCGACGCCUCGUCUUUCUGUACCUCUCCCGCUAUAUAAGUCCUCCGCCUUCUCACUAUCCUCACUUCCACUCUAAUUUUUGCUCUCCCUAAUUCUAUCCUUACUCUCCCCCUCUUCCUCUGUUCAGGUUCCCGAUGGCUGCUGCUGCUUUGCGUGCCGCCGGCUCCACCGCGGAUCAGGUUUUUUCAGGGUUAUUUGACAUCCCCGACCCCAAGAAACCCCUGGCCAACAUCACCGCCGACGCCAUUCGCGAUUCGCUAGGUCGCAUGGGCCGGGGUGACCUCGUCUUUACUGAAGCGGGCCGCCGGCUCGCCUCCUCUCCGCCAGAGGGCAUGGUGGCCCUGUCCUCCUCCUAUGCCGACUGCGGCCUUAAGCUACCUCUAUCCCCCCUUUUGUGCGAGGCGGUGCGCUUCUGCCGAGUCUCUUUCUCCCAGCUCCCUCCGGCUUCCUUCGACCGGCUACUGACUUUCUCACUGCUUUGCCGACGGUGCGGGAUCGAAGCUUCACUGGUUGUCUUCUAGAUAAGGCUCCAGAUAAUGUCCAUGCCUCAGGAUCCCCGAUGCAUGCUGAUCAGCCAGCGCGGGGGGUUUCCUCUGUUCGAUCAUUUGGCUGAUCGGUCCCACAACUGGGGCGACCAUUUUUUUUUCGUGUCGGUGGACGCCCUGGGACAGAUUGAUCUCGAAUCGCCGCCGCCGCCUCACUGGGGGCUUCUCACGCAGCUAAAGACACGAACCACCCCUCCGCUCAUGUCUGACCUGGACGGCCCACAGUCGUGCGCAUACGAGGUGUUUAUCAAGGUCUAUUGUCGCGGUUCCGUCAGCGCCCGAGAAUUGGUUACAAAUUGGUCUUAUGACGACCAUCUGCAGAAGUCCAUCUGGACGGACUAUACCCGCGAUGGCCCGCCGAAGCGUGCGGUCGGUAAGAUGCGUUCGGCCGCUGAGACCGUGUUUCUGACGCCUUCGCCUCCACUGUCCUCGCUGCCCGAGCCCGAGCCUAAAGUCGCUCUCAAACAUACCCGGCUCGAGAUGCGACAAAGGAAAAAAAUGCGAGCCGAGAAGAAAAAGCUGGGAAGUCCCCGGUCCUUGCCGCGUACACCUCCUUCUGCUGAGGCUUCGGAUGAGGUGCUGAGCGCCCUCGAGUCUGACGGUCUGGAACCCAAGCUCUUCAAGACCUUCGUCGAGUCCUGCGAGCGUUUGUCUGAACUCGCCGCCGUAGUCAAUCCAUCUUCGUCCCUUCCUCGUGCCGUGGGGAUUCUUCGGAACCGGCUUUUCAACGUUAACUCCUGGUUGCUGCAAGAGGAGGAGUACGUGUCGCAGUUCGCCUGUGCGCCAUCGGACCUCGACCAGGACCACCAUUACCAGCUACUCCAACUGUCCAUUCUCUCCAAGGUGCGCUUGCAGCAGGGCCGUGAUCAAGCUGAUGAGAUGGCGAAGCUGCGCGAACAGGUCGCUUGUCUGAGGGGCGAUGUUGAGGCUGUCACCCGGCAGCGCGACCAGUUGGUGUAGGGGGCUUCCAAAGUCGUUGAAGAGCAUCGGCUUCGCGUGGUCGAGGUCCAGACUGCUUGUGCGGCUGUUGAGGAAGCUGCCGCUGCUGUUAAGAAGCGAACCAUGGCCAAGUUCCUUCCCGUAUUUGAGACGCGCCUCGCCGUCCUAAAGCAGGACCAUUUCAUCGAGUGAAAGGACGCGAAACGUGCCUGUUUCUGGAAGGGCUACGUUCAUGGGCGGGCCAUGUGCACUCUUGCUCUCCCCUCUCUCGCGGACGUCGUGGUGCCCCGGAGCGCUCGCGACUGGGUAGAGUGGAAGGUGACGGGCGGUCCUGACUACCAGCCCCCCUUGGACGUGAGCGAAGGCGAGGAGGAGGAUCUCGAAGCUGACUUCCCCGAAUACAUUGAUCCGCCUACCUUUGACUAGCCGGUCCUUGUGGUUAGCCAUUUUUUCCUCCUUUUUUUUUGUACCUACAUACUUAGUUUUUUUUUAAAAUGAAGACUUUUCCUUUUCUUUGCAAUGUUUUGCGUUCUUACUUAUUGCUCGUUUCCCUCCUAGGGGCGGCCUGGGCCGACCGAACGUUCACGUGUGGUCUUCUGACCUUAGGAACCUUCGACCGGCCUUUUCGGCGGGCCCCCUUUUUGCCUAUCGUUUCCGAUUCGCGUUAUUUUCUUUCCCCUCUUUUGCCCCUCUCUUCGGCCUUUGGGGCGCGUGACAGUAACGAAAAAGAAAGCCUAUAAAAGAUAAAUGGGCGCUUCGGGUGCUUUUCAUUUGGCAUCGUGUGCCUUGGUUGGAGGGGGAAAAAAAUACAACGACAUGAGAAGGGAAAAGGGAGAAGGCGGAGCGACGUCUCGGUCUUCAACGCUUAUACUUUUCCAAGUUGUCGGCGUGCCACGUCCUUUCUAUCUCUUGCCCGUCUUCGUAACCCAGGUAGAAGAUGCCUGGGUGAACCUCAUCUAUGAUGACGUACGGGCCUUCCCAUCUUGCCGAGAGCUUCCCCUUCAUAUGGUCUACUCCCGUUACUUAGUGUUAAUAAUAAAAUAAAAUAUUAUAUUGGAUUGGAUUUGAAUAUUAUAUCUGUGAUUAGGGGUGGACGUGGGCGAGUUAAACCAGAACAUGUUGUGUACGGAUUCAGGUGUAUAUUUUCGACCAUGAAACACAUGAAAAACUUGAACCCGAGUUUUUUCAUCUGAUUUUUUCGAAUCGGGUUCAGGUAAACUCGAACCAAACUCGAUUCAUCCAAAUUUUUUAUAAAAAAAACUUUAAAAUAUAAAUAAAAUUUUAUUUUAUAUAAAAUAUUUUAUAAAAAUUUAAUAUAUACAUUUAAUAAAUUUCCUUUCUUCUUCUAAAAUUUAUUCCCUAAUAUUAUUAUCGAUUUCAUCUUCCCUCUUAUUGCCGUACUCAUCGUAGUCGCCUGAUACAUCUUCACAUUUGAAUCGAGACUGUUUCGGAUACAAUUAUGUGGAAAAUGAAAGAUACAUGUUUCGGAUCUUUUGUUGGCAUGGUCGAUUUCCCAAUAAAAUCGAGACUGUUGGAUGAUUUGGUUGGCUGUUAUGUUGGUAAUUACUGUUUUGAAAUCAAGGGAAAGAAAUUGGAGGUUUCGGUCAAGUAAAUCGGCGAAAUUAUUGGAGUUCCAUAUCAAGGACUGCCAAUUAACAUGAAGCCAAAGGCGAAACCCACAGGUGGAAGAUUUUCCUCAAGCAUCAUUCAAGAUGACUCCAGACAGUGGAGUGUAUGUUCUCACGGCAAUGAAUUAUAUAGUCAUGGGGGACACCGUGCUAUGGAGUAGAAAAGAUGUGGAUCAAAUGGCCGACAAAAUCGUAUAUGAUAUUCUUCGCGCUGUUCUUUUAGAUGUUAAAUGCUACUUACAUUACAAACAAAAGCUUAGAUUGUGUCUGUUAGGGUUUUAUGUAUUCUGUUUAUUACAGGUGAAUUAGUAAAUGGUACAUCUAUUAGUAUAUGUUAUAUCAUUAACUAAUUAAUUUAAUAGCAUUAUCAAACACUGAAAAAGCAUUAAUUAUAAGCAGUUAGGAUAUCUAGCCCUCUGUUUAUCGAGCAUUAAGGAUACCUUGGCCCAUGGACAUUGACUAUACACAUAAUGUCAUUACAAGCAAUCGUAGUAGCAUCCAGGCCAUUCAUUUGCAACAUUACCUAGUAAUAAUAACAUUAGUACGUAGGUUACUAACAUUAAGGAUACCUUGGUCCAUGAUCAUUGACCACACACAUAGUAGCAUUAUAAGCAAUCGGAGUAGCAUCCAGGUCAUUCAUUUACAAUAUUACCAAGUAAUAAUAGCAUUAUUAGGUAGGUUACUACGUUUAAGGAUACCUUGACCUAUGUUUCAUUGACCACACAAAUAAUAGCAUUACAAGCAAUCGGAGUAGCAUCUAGGCCAUUCAUUUGCAACAUUACCAAGUAGUAAUAGCAUUAGUAGGUAGGUUACUACCAUUAAUGAUACAUUGACCUAUGUUUCAUUGAGCACACACAUAAUAGCAUUACAAACAGUCGUAGUAGCAUCCCGGCCUUUCAUUUUUAACAUUACCAAGUAAUAAUAGCAUUAGUAGGUGGUUGACUAGCAUUGCGGAUACGUCAGCCUAUGUUUCAUCGAGCACACACAUAAUAGCAAUACAAGCAGUCGUAGUAGCAUCCCGGCCAUUCAUUUUCAACAUUACCAAGUAAUAAUAGCAUUAGUAGUUAGGUUACAAGCAGUGAGAAUAUCUUGGUCUAUGUUCAUUGAGCACACACAUAAUAGCAUUAGAAACAGUCGUAGUAUCAUCCCGGCCUUUCAUUUUUAACUUUACCAAGUAAUAAUAGCAUUAGUAGGUAGGUUACAAGCAGUGAAGAUACCUUGGCCUAUGUUCAUUGAGCACACACAUAAUAGCAUUAGAAACAGUCGUAGUAUCAUCUUGGCCUUUCGUUUUCAACAUUACCAAGUAAUAAUAGCAUUAGUAGGUAGGUUACCAGCAGUGAGGAUACCUUGACCUAUGUUUCAUUGAGCACAUACAUAAUAGCAUUACUAACAGUCGUAGUAGCAUCCAAGCCUUUCAUUUUCAACAUUACAAGUAAUAAUAGCAUUAGUAGUUAAGUUACAAGCAGUGAGGAUACCUUGGCCUAUGUUUAUUGAGCACACACAUAAUAACAUUAGAAACAAUCGUAGUAUCAUCCCGGCCUUCCAUUUUCAAACCCUAACAUUUUCAUUUUCAAACAGUCGUAGAACAUUCUAAAUAUCAAAGAAUAAACAUUCGUCUUAUAAGUGGUGUUAAUUGUAACUGUAUCUCCGAAUAACUUAAAAUGUUGAAUCAUUAUGGAAUCAACCCAAAAAACAUGUUUAAGUCUACCACUAGAAUCCUUGACAAUAGAAUAAAAGAAAUCCGGUUGUACAGACUUCUUCAUUUCGAAUUCCUCGACCAGUAGAUCAACGCCAUAAUUCUUCAGAUCGACAUGAUCGUCACGACACAUAUUCGAUAUAUCCAAUUGCGUACAUCCCAUAUGUUCGAUUCCACCAACUUGAGUUGAAAAAUAAGCAGUUUGCUGUGAAACGGGUACAUUGACUUCACUAAGAGAUUGGAAAAGUAAUCUGGAGGUAGAGGAUAUCGAACGAUUUAUGGGAAGGAACCGUACUUUUGAAGAUGUGGUGAGGGGAUGAUUGUGCUCAAGAACAAUAUGUUUAACAAUCCAUACUUCAGACAUACCUUCUCUCUUUAUUUUAAUACUUGCACAACAACCACACCUUGAAAAUACAUUCUUACGUCGCUUGUCUAAUUUAGAAGGAUGUAAUAGAUCAACUGUUCCUUCUUUCGAACACAACAAUCGUCCCAUAACUAAAUUUUUUUUACCGUACGUCAUCCUUACUGGUUUUAUAGUUAGUAGAACCCAAACGAACGGAGAAACCCAUUUUCGACGCAUAACCAUAAUAUUGAUCAAGAGCAUCAGAAUAUGAGGAAUAAAUUUGACCAAAAGUGAGUGAUGAAUUCAAUUUAGCAUUGUCUGAAGAAGAAUUGGUAUCAGUGGGUUGUUUGGGAACGAAAAAACUAGGAGAAGCAUUGACGGAAGAAGUAAUAGCAUUAGGUAGUCCAGUUCCAUCAUUAUUCUCAGAAGAAAUAAGAGUACGCAGAUUGUCUAAUGGAGUGUCAUGGUUUUGAUGAGGAACAUAAUUAGAAUUACGAAUAAGUGGGAAAUCAUUGAUUCUUAAACAUUGUACAUUACCAUGGGUUUCAUUAGGAUUACAAUCAGAUGGUUUUUCUGUUUGGAUAGAGUAAAAAUCGAGACUAACAUUACACUGAGGUCUAGAAUGUUGUGUGGGUGGAAUCAAUGGUUGGGCAUGGAGUGGACGAUAUGGGAGUGGUGUGAUAUAUAUAGAGGAGGAAUUAGGAGAGAAAUGAAUGGUGUUUUUAGGCUCAAUGUUAGGUUGUUGUAAGGGUGAUGAUUGAUCAAUAACAUUUAAUGAAUUUAGAGUCGACACACCUUGAUGGAUGUCAAAGUCAUUUAAUGGUGAAAAGAUGGUAAGCGAAAAAACAAAAGGGUAAGACAAAAACAAGAAGAAUAGAAGCUUGCGUGGAAAAAAUAAAACGAAUAAAAAAAUUAAAAAUAAAAUAAAAAACUACACGUGGGUUGCGCGUGUUGAGGAAAAAAGUUUCACCGGUUACGAAGGGUGGGGAUUAUUUGUGUGAUUUUGGAAGGCUGCGAUGCCUUCGCAUUGUCAGCUGAUGCGAAGGCAUUCGCAGCUGAUUUAUUUUGCUAAUAUAUAUUUCAAUAGAGAUGAUCGGGUAUAUAUGAAUGAUGGUGAUUGACUGAUUGGAUAUGAUAUGACUAUUAGAAUACCAUGACGGUUGCCGGAAAAAAAUAUUGACAGUCUAGCCGUCAAAAACUUAAAAAGAAAAAUUACACUAGUGACCAGACUGUAAAAAAAUUUCUCUUUUUAAAAGGAAAAAUAGUAUCCCUGAUUACGAUGACUAAGCCGUAAGUAUCAACGUAGAAACAUCACUGACAAUCUAGUGGUCAGUAAUUACCCAUUAGAAAAAUACUAUUAUUUUAUAGUGACAGUAGGCUGGUUUAUCUUAAUUUUAAUAAUAUAAUAUUAUAUCGUUAAUUUCAAUGUUAUGACUUAUGCUAUAAUACAAAUAUUAUCAGGUGAUUUCUUAGUGUUAAUAAUAAAAUAAAAUAUUAUAUUGGAUUGGAUUUGAAUAUUAUAUCUGUGAUUAGGGGUGGACGUGGGCGAGUUAAACCAGAACAUGUUGUGUACGGAUUCAGGUGUAUAUUUUCGACCAUGAAACACGAUAUGAAAAACUUGAACCCGAGUUUUUUCAUUCGAUUUUUUCGAAUCGGGUUCAGGUAAACUCGAACCAAACUCGAUUCACCCAAAUUUUUUAUAAAAAAACUUUAAAAUAUAAAUAAAAUUUUAUUUUAUAUAAAAUAUUUUAUAAAAAUUUAAUAUAUACAUUUAAUAAAUUUCCUUUCUUCUUCUAAAAUUUAUUCCCUAAUAUUAUUAUCGAUUUCAACUUCUCUCUUAUCGCUGUACUCAUCGUAGUCGCCCGAUACAUCUUCACAUUUGAAUCUUCACAUUAUUUAAUAAUUAUUUGAUAUUUUAUCUUAUUUAAGAUUUUAAAAAUUAUUCGAUAAAAUUAUUUAAAUAACAAGAUUUUUUAUAUAAAUUUUUAAAAAAAAAUUAUUAAACCCGAACUGACAUCCAAAUCAAGUUAAGGUUUUAUAAUUUUAAAAAAUUCGAUUAGUGUGAUGAUAGGAGUUAUCAGGAUAAACCUAACAAUGAAUACGAAUAAACAUAACGAUGAAGAUUAAGAAUAUACUGAACAUAAUGAUAAAAAUCAGCUGCUGAUUCACAGAUGAUUAAAGUAGAAAGGUGUUAAAAAAAAUUCAAACUUUGCACCAGAGGUCCAAAACGAACAAUCCGGGAAUUUCUAAUCGAUCUCAGAUUAUCUCCCGUAUUUUUUCUUCCUUGAAUCGCCAUCAUUAUCAUCAUCGACAACAUCAUAAUCAUCAUUAUAGCUAUCAUCGUCUAGGGUCCCAAUCCAAUUAAUGCUGAGUCGUUUGAUCAUGUAUCGUAGAGAUUAAAGUAGAAAGGUGUUAAAAAAAUUUCAAACUUUGCACCAGACCGAACAAUCCGGGAAUUUCUGUUCGAUCUUAGAUUGUCCCCGGUGUUUUUUCUUCCUUGAAUCGCCAUCAUUAUCAUCAUCGUCAUCAUCAACAAUAUCAUAAUCAUCAUUAAUGCUAUCAUCGUCUAGAGUGUAUUAAUUAGGUGAGUUGUGGUACCAAUUUUACCAACCGAGAUGCAGGUUCGAUAAAUGAAGAAGAGAAGUUUGAUACAGGUAGAGAGGGAUCCAUUUCUGUAAAUAGAAGGGCACCGGAACGCGGGAUGGAGUUGGUUGACGUGAUAAACUCCAGGUUCCUGGAGCAUAUACCGGUGGAUUGGAUCGUUGUGAUGUUGGCAUUUGGUGGUUUGGUGAUUCUAAAAUAUUUCAUCUUCUUCCUGAGAUGGAUCUACGUCUACUUUCUGAGACCAUGUAAAGAUUUGAAGAGAGUUUACGGUUCAUGGGCAAUCGUCACUGGUAGCACUGAUGGUAUCGGAAGAGCCAUGGCUUUAGAAUUGGGUCGGAAAGGAAUGAAUCUGGUACUCAUCGGACGGAAUCCUGGUAAAUUAAAAGCAGUCUCCGACGAGAUCCUGACCGGAGAAUAUUGUCGUGGUUCUAAAGACAAGGACAGCAUACGUGUGAAAACAGUCGUGUUUGACAUGUCCGGCGACCUAAUCGAAGGAAUAGCUCUGGUCGGAGAAGCAAUCAAAGGGCUGGACGUGGGAGUUUUGGUCAACAACGCCGGAUUGAACAACUCAAACGGUAUUUUCUUUCAUGAAGGGAGAUUAGAGCUAUGGAGGGAGAUUGUGAAGAUUAACGUAGAGGCUAUAACAAUGGUGAGUAAAGUUGUUAUUGAUGGAAUGAUAGAAAGAGGGAGAGGAGCCAUAGUUAACAUCGGCGGCGGAUGCACUGUCGUCGGUAUCCAUCCUCUGUUCGCCGUUUACUGUGCUACCAAAGGGUAAGAUAUCUGACUAUUGAUCACUCAUUUUACCAUUAAAAACAGAGCUACAUCCACUGAUUUCAAAAACCGUGGUUAAUUGUUCGAUAAUAUAGCCAUGAACUUUUUAUUCAUGACUAAGGUUGUGGCUAUUUUGAAAAUUUAGCCACAUAUUCUACUAUCUGUAGCUACUUUGGUGGCUAAAUUUCUCGGGAAAAUUUCCUUCCAUUUUGGCGGUGGCUUUUCCUUUUUUUACCGUUUUAACAAUUAGCCAUGACGUACCACUAAAUAAAAUACUCAUUGAUCAUGGUUAAUAUUUAGCCACAGAUAAUUAAUUUCGUAGCUAAAAAACAGUAGCCACCAGACGUACGCCCAAGACCCUUCCCGUGGCUAAAUUCAUGAUGUAGUCACAUAUUUGAUCAAAGGGCCACUGAUUUUGGUCGUAAAUCAGUGGCCCUUUGAUCCAAAUCACAUGAUCCAAAUCUCGAGAACCAAAAAAUAAUCACAUAGAUCAAAAUGGAUGACUUAAUUUACAGGUAUGUGGAGCACUUUUCGAGAAGCCUCCAUGCAGAGUAUAAAAGGAGUGGUAUUGAUGUUCAGUGUCAGGUAAUUGAAAAUUAAGAAACGAAAUAUAUUUUUUUGAAAGUAACAUUUUUAGUAGUAAACUUAUGAAAUUUUGUACCAAAAAUCGUACAUUUUUUAGUUUAUUUCAAUUGAAUUUCUACUAAUUUUAAUUACUUUGCUUGAUCUCUAUGUAGGCACCUUUCUAUGUAUAUACAAAUAUGACGGCAAAAUAUCAAAAAACGUCAUUCUUUGUGCCAUCUCCUGAGAGAUACGCCAAAGCCGCGGUGCCGUGGAUCGGAUACGAUGGCUUCUGCGUCCCAUAUAUCAAUCAUUCCCUUCAAGCUUUUAUACUUUCGAUUCUACCGGAGUUCGUAAUCAACGCAUAUCUUAUGCGUGUUGGAAUGAGGUUUGACACUCUAAAAAGGAACAAUAAUUAACACACAAGGAGAUUAUAAAGGGUCACAAUACCUACUAAGGUUUCUGAGUGUUCAAAGUUUUAUCAAACCUACUAAGGUUUAUGAGUGUUCAAAGUUUUAUCAAUACAUACUAAGGUUUCUGAGUGUUCAAAGUUUUAUCAGUUAUAUAAUAUGUGGUUAUAAUAUAUAAUUAAAAGUUGGAUAUUAAUUUAUUUGGUACUAUGGAAAGGAAACAUUUGAUCACAAUAUUUUUUUUCCCAUAAAUGUACAUCUUGAGUAUUUGGUAACUACACAAUGUAGUUUAAAAAAUAAGUAUUGUACUACAAUGUAUUUCUUAUAAAUGGUCUAGAUUCUCUCUAAGUUUCACCCUUAGGAGUAUUUAUACAGUCACUCUUGGGUUCGGAAUCUUCAUAGACCGGGCCUAUCCUAAUGGUCCCAAUCUGUUGGACCGGGGGGGUAUCAUAUAGGCCUAGGGGUGAGAACGGGGCGGUUCCCCCCGAUAACGUUUCGUUCCGCGUCCUAGUAGUAACCGGGGUCGGGGCCAGGUGAACCUUGUCCUAUUUUUAACUUUUGACCCGAUGCUCCGGUCAUAUUCCGAGGCGGGUCUUGGGGCAAGGUGAGCCCCGGCCGGUUUUGCC